UGGGGAAUAUUGCACAAUGGGCGAAAGCCUGAUGCAGCAACGCCGCGUGAGGGACGACGGCCUUCGGGUUGUAAACCUCUUUUAGCAGGGAAGAAGCGAAAGUGACGGUACCUGCAGAAAAAGCGCCGGCUAACUACGUGCCAGCAGCCGCGGUAAUACGUAGGGCGCAAGCGUUAUCCGGAAUUAUUGGGCGUAAAGAGCUCGUAGGCGGUUUGUCGCGUCUGCUGUUAAACCCCGAGGCUCAACCUCGGGCCUGCAGUGGGUACGGGCAGACUAGAGUGCGGUAGAGGAGAUUGGAAUUCCUGGUGUAGCGGUGGAAUGCGCAGAUAUCAGGAGGAACACCGAUGGCGAAGGCAGAUCUCUGGGCCGUAACUGACGCUGAGGAGCGAAAGGGUGGGGAGCAAACA
Molecule: ribosomal RNA, 407 nt
Filed under: uncultured prokaryote
Description: bacterial SSU rRNA
Rfam family: Bacterial small subunit ribosomal RNA
Source: RNAcentral